RNAcentral lists this ribosomal RNA (685 nucleotides) under uncultured bacterium. RNAcentral's name for it is "bacterial SSU rRNA". It matches the Rfam family "Bacterial small subunit ribosomal RNA", at positions 9 to 687 of the family's 1533-position model. The record is from RNAcentral.
GAGUUUGAUCCUGGCUCAGAUUGAACGCUGGCGGCAGGCUUAACACAUGCAAGUCGAGCGGUAACAGGGGUAGCUUGCUACCUGCUGACGAGCGGCGGACGGGUGAGUAACGCGUAGGAAUCUACCCAGUAGCGGGGGAUAGCCCGGGGAAACCCGGAUUAAUACCGCAUACGCCCCACGGGGGAAAGCAGGGGAUCUUUGGACCUUGCGCUAUUGGAUGAGCCUGCGUCGGAUUAGCUAGUUGGUGGGGUAAAGGCCUACCAAGGCGACGAUCCGUAGCUGGUCUGAGAGGAUGAUCAGCCACACCGGGACUGAGACACGGCCCGGACUCCUACGGGAGGCAGCAGUGGGGAAUAUUGGACAAUGGGGGCAACCCUGAUCCAGCCAUGCCGCGUGUGUGAAGAAGGCUUUCGGGUUGUAAAGCACUUUCAGUGGGGAGGAAAUGGUCAUGGUUAAUACCUGUGACAAUUGACGUUACCCACAGAAGAAGCACCGGCUAACUCCGUGCCAGCAGCCGCGGUAAUACGGAGGGUGCAAGCGUUAAUCGGAAUUACUGGGCGUAAAGCGCGCGUAGGCGGUCUGGUCAGUUGGGUGUGAAAUCCCCGGGCUUAACCUGGGAACUGCAUCCAAUACUGCCAGGCUGGAGUAUGGGAGAGGUAGUGGAAUCCACGUGUAGCGGUGAAAU